This is a long non-coding RNA of Meriones unguiculatus (Mongolian gerbil), 1117 nucleotides long. RefSeq lists it as uncharacterized. Lineage: Eukaryota; Metazoa; Chordata; Mammalia; Rodentia; Muridae. The transcript is spliced from 5 exons. The record is from RefSeq and is a predicted model, not a curated record.
GCAAUAGUGGCACUAGUGCUUGCCUCAUCAGCAUGAGGAUCCGGGUCACACCCAGAGUAGCCAUGGAAAAGUCUGGGCAAGGCGGUGUCUUCCCAGUGCUGGAAGGCAGAGGUUAAGAACCACUGCUAUAUAAAGACAUGGAAGAAAGAAGCUUUUACUCUUGGAUGGCCUGCUCUCCCCUUACUGCUAAGUCCACUCCUUCAGUCAUUAGAGCCUACUUCUUGAGAAUCCCAGUCUACUGAAGACCAGGCUCUUUCAAACCCAUCUGCCCUGCUUUGAGAAGAGGGCGGAACUGUAUUUGGCUGCCCACUCUUCUGUAUGGCCCUGCUUGGGAACCACUGGUUCGAUGGGACUGCACGUUCAGCGGGAGAAUCUAACUUGAAUUGAAAAGAAAACCUAAGGAGUAUCAGUGGAACCUCUGUUUGGCAUCUGACUUUAAUGAAUUAAGAAACAGCCACCUAGGGCCGGGCAUCUUGGUGAACGCCUUUAAUCCCAGCACUCAGGAGGAAGAGGAGGACCUCCCUCCCUGUUGUCUGACCACAGCACCACCAGUCAUCACUGCGAUUCCCAAAAGGCCAUACCAACUCAUGCAAGUCACCAAUCAAGGUUACAUCAUGGACCAGCAAAAUGGGCUCAAUGGUUAAAGGCCCUUCCCCACAAGGUUGGGGACCUGAGUUCAACCAACAUCAACGUGGAAAGAGAACCAGCUUCACAAAAUCUUUUUUCAACGUCUGCCCCCAUGCCAUGGAAUGCGUGUCCUUCCCGAACACACAUCAGAUACUUGUGAGUGUACACAUUAAUACAUCAACUCAUUUAGAAACCCAAGCUAUCACUGGACAUUAUUUUGCAUAUCUGUAGUCCUAGCACUUGGAAGACUGAGGCAAUUUCAUGAGUUUGAGGCUAACCUGGACUAUAUAGCAAGCACCAAGCUACCCAGAGGUCCAUACUAAAACCAUGUCUCAAAAAACAACAAAAAGAACAGUAAAAGGCUUGCCUUGCAAGCACAGAGGCCUGAGGUUGGUCCCUAGUGCCCACCCUUUUGGUCCCAGCACUGAGGAGAUAAAGACAGGUGGAUCCUUGGGGCUCAUUGGCCAACCAGCCUGGCAUAACCAGAAGG